CUACGCCCGGGCCCCGCCGCUCUUCAUCCACCCCGCGGUCCACGGGGUGAAAAGCGCUCAAUCAUCGUGGACUCUUUGAAAAACGCCGCGUUCCGUUGGUGGCUCACGUAUGUAUGAAACGGGAAUCAAGAAUACCGACGUUGGGAUAAUGGGAUAAUGACAAUAACGAUAAUGGCAAUGUCAAUGAUGGAAUGGGACAUCAGCAUUCGAACAUAGUUAUAUAUCUUUGCACCAGCACCAGCAUAAAACAUCAGCAUCAGCAUCAGCAUCGCCUUGACAGCCUGAGUGAGG
RNAcentral lists this small RNA (291 nucleotides) under Histoplasma capsulatum. Its description in RNAcentral is "hypothetical RNA". RNAcentral also lists the same sequence under 1 other name. The record is from RNAcentral. Lineage: Eukaryota; Fungi; Ascomycota; Eurotiomycetes; Onygenales; Ajellomycetaceae.